ACUACCCCUAGAAGCAUUGUGGGUAUGGCUGCUGUGUCACGUGUACAUCAGUAGAUGGCAGAGAGGGAGUAAGGCCCUCUCUGUGCUCAGGACUCUGACCUAUAAACAACUGAAUGAUGUUCCCUGAAACA
Small nucleolar RNA from Rattus norvegicus (Norway rat), 131 nucleotides. Ensembl annotates it as small nucleolar RNA SNORA17. The record is from Ensembl. Lineage: Eukaryota; Metazoa; Chordata; Mammalia; Rodentia; Muridae.